RNAcentral lists this ribosomal RNA (497 nucleotides) under uncultured bacterium. RNAcentral's name for it is "partial 16S ribosomal RNA". It matches the Rfam family "Bacterial small subunit ribosomal RNA", at positions 28 to 507 of the family's 1533-position model. The record is from RNAcentral.
GAUGAACGCUGGCGGCGUGCCUAAUACAUGCCAGUCGAGCGAACGGACGAGAAGCUUGCUUCUCUGAUGUUAGCGGCGGACGGGUGAGUAACACGUGGAUAACCUACCUAUAAGACUGGGAUAACUUCGGGAAACCGGAGCUAAUACCGGAUGAUAUUUUGAACCGCAUGGUUCAAAAGUGAAAGACGGUCUUGCUGUCACUUAUAGAUGGAUCCGCGCUGCAUUAGCUAGUUGGUAAGGUAACGGCUUACCAAGGCAACGAUGCAUAGCCGACCUGAGAGGGUGAUCGGCCACACUGGAACUGAGACACGGUCCAGACUCCUACGGGAGGCAGCAGUAGGGAAUCUUCCGCAAUGGGCGAAAGCCUGACGGAGCAACGCCGCGUGAGUGAUGAAGGUCUUCGGAUCGUAAAACUCUGUUAUUAGGGAAGAACAUAUGUGUAAGUAACUGUGCACACCUUGACGGUACCUAAUCAGAAAGCCGCGGCUAACUACGUG